UACGUAGGUGGCAAGCGUUGUCCGGAUUUACUGGGCGUAAAGAGCGCGCAGGCGGUCGUUCAAGUUGGACGUGAAAGCUCCCGGCUUAACUGGGAGAGGCCGUUCAAAACUGAGAGGCUAGAGUGAGGCAGAGGAGCGCGGAAUUCCCGGUGUAGUGGUGGAAUGCGUAGAUAUCUGGAGGAACACCGGUGGCGAAGGCGGCAUCCUGGACCGGUAUUGACGCUGAGGCGCGAAAGCUAGGGGAGCAAACGGG
RNAcentral lists this ribosomal RNA (253 nucleotides) under uncultured bacterium. RNAcentral describes it as "partial 16S ribosomal RNA". It matches the Rfam family "Bacterial small subunit ribosomal RNA", at positions 524 to 776 of the family's 1533-position model. The record is from RNAcentral.